RNAcentral lists this long non-coding RNA (7344 nucleotides) under Zostera marina. RNAcentral's name for it is "long non-coding RNA (ZMAR_LNC002601)". Lineage: Eukaryota; Viridiplantae; Streptophyta; Magnoliopsida; Alismatales; Zosteraceae. The record is from RNAcentral.
CUGGAUCUGCUUGCUGCGUUCGCCAAUCUUCCGCGUUCGUAGUUGCGUUGUCGAGAAAAUUCUGGAUUCCGCGUCUGGAUCUGCUUCCACGUCUGCUCUAUCGCGAUUUUGGAUUUCGCGUCUGCGUCCGGUGACGCGAUCUGCAUUUUGGAUUUUGCGUAUCGGUCACGCGUUUGCGUAUUUUGAAUCUGCAGUUGUUCACACAUUUGCAGCUGUUCACGCAUUUACAGUUGUUCACAAUUUUGGAUCUGCAUUUGCGUUCAUAUUGCAGUUGAUUGCUGCAUUUGGGAUUGAUUCCUGCAUUUGGGAUUACUCGUCAUCAUAUUGCGAUCUGCAGAUUUCCGAGUUCUUGCAAUCUGCGUCGUCUUGAUUUCUCGCCGAUCAUUCAAAUCUGUAAGUUUUUUUUCUUUUUUUUCUUGAAAUUAAAUCUGUGAUUGCUUGUGUGAUUUCUCGCCGCAUGUGGACUUGCUUUGUGUGAUUAGUUUUGUCAAGUUUAAUAAUAAUACUCUUUUUCAUUUUCAAGAUAGAACUUUUGAAAUGAUUUUGGUUUAAUUAUUUUCUUUUCAUACAAGUUUGUUUUCUGGCUUGUUGGAGGUAUUACUUAUUUUUCUAAAACAUUAUUCUCAAUGUUUUGGUUUGAAGUGAAUUUUGUCUAUCUUGAGUUAAUUCUCUAUUGAUUAAUAUCCUCCCCUGGGUCAGUAUCUUGUCUGUCCAGAAUAUAUAUCCUGUCCAAAAUCAGCUUGCUAGUUUUGGUUGAUGAUAUUCAGUUGUGUAUCUGAAUAUAACUGUUGUUCAUUUACUUCAUUAUCAUAUAUUUGUGUUCUAUUUUUAUGCUUGUAUAAGGAAUUGCUUUCAUCAGUCUGAGUAUUCUCAGCUCUCACAGAUGUUUCCUGAUUUUGAUCUGCGUUGUCCUUAUUUGAGAAAGAUCUUCCAUCAGACUGAACAUCCUCAGCUAUCUCUAAUGGAUGAUUCCUAGAUGGACCUGAUUUGUCUUGUUUAGAAAUAAAUAACUGAACUUUUAUGUUUUGAUUAUAUUCUGAUUUUUCUCCAGUUUGUACUGAAUUGUUUUUAUUUUUUGAACUGGAAUUGUUAUUCUCAGUCUGAAUAUGCAUAUAUAUAAUCUCCCAUUGUAUUGAUCAGGUAUGAUUGAUCUUCUAAGAUCAGAAUCUGAAUUUGUUAAUUUUCCAAAAUUUUGGAAGGUUUUGCUUUUGAGAGACCACACUUCUCUAGGAUACCUAAGGCAUACUUCCUUUGUGAGAGAUAUAUUCCUUUGUUGGAAUAUGAAACUUCAAUACCUAAGAAGUAAUUUAAUCUCCCUAAAUCUUUUAGUUUGAAUUGAUUUUCUAAUUGGAUUUUAAUUAUUCCAAUUUCUAAUUCAUUACUUUCUAUAAUUAUUAUAUCAUCUAUAUAAACUAUGAGAUAUAAACUAUGAAGCUUGAGUGAAGCCAAUCUCUAAGAUUACUCCUCUUAGUUUCUCAAACCAGUUCCUUGAGGCUUGUUUUAAGCCAUAUAAGGAUUUAUUGAGUUUACAUACUCUUUUAUCUCCUUUUUUUAGAAGGCCUCGUGAUGGUUAAUUUUAAGUAUACUUCUUCAUGCAAUUCUUCAUGAAGAAAAACAUUAUUAACAUCUAAUUGGUAUAAAUUCUAUCCUUUCAUGGAUGUUAUGGCUAUGAUAUUUUUUAUAGUUACCAUCUUGACCACUGGUGCAAAGGUUUUAAAAAAAUCAAAACUUUUUUUUUGUGUGAAUCCUUUAGCCACUAGCCUUGUUUUAUGCCUUUCUAUUUGACCAUUUGGCUUAUACUUAAUUUUAUAUAUCAAUUUAGAUCCUAUAGACUUCCUAUCGAUCUUUUGGAAGAUUAACCAAUGUCCAUGUAUUGUUUUCUAAAAGAGCAUUCAUCUCUUUUUGCAUUGCUUCAACCCAAUUUGGGUCUUUUGAAACUAUGAGAAGGAUAAAGAAUUAAGAAUUAGUUUAAACUGUUGUUAGUUGAGUUAGUUAGUUAACUGAUUAUUAGUAUUGGGUUGUAGUAUAUAAGUAGAGGAUAUUAUUGAUAAUUGAUUGAAGGAUGUUGGAUCAUCAUGAAUAGUUAUUUGUUUUAGGUAAUGUUUUUGUUGUUUAUUUAUCUUAUGAUAGGAUAUAUGAUUACUCAUGGGAUAUUUUGACUCAUGAUAAUCCUUGAUAUGCUUCUUACCAGAGGAAGGGAGACUAGAGCUUCUCGGAUCUCUUACAAUUGAAAUGAAUUAUAAUACUUAAGAUUGAUUUUCUUUAUUCUAUACUAACAUGACUUAAUAUAGCCUUACAAAUACUAACAAAUCUGAAAACAAAUCAUAAAUUGCUAAAUCAACAUGCAUGGAAAGAAAUAAUAAACGUGGAUGUAAAUCAGAAAAUAAAUAAUUUAAUGUUAAAUACAAUAUUAAAUGCAAUGUAGAGGAUCGAACGUAUCAAUCCCCUCUCCCUCGGAAGACAGUCCGUCCUCGGAUUUCUAAGAACUCCACGAUGUUUACUCCGACCGCGUUCAAACUCCACCUCCUGAUCAGGGUGUUUACUACACACUCUACAUCAGCCACCGGUUGUUUGCCUUUGACCUGCAAAAGGAGUUCUUGGAGAGAUGCUUGGAGCUUUGCCGUCUCUUCGCGGGAAGCAGCGAUCUCAAUCGCCUGGAGUUGGAAUGAUUCGUCGACGUUCUUCUUAAAGUCGUCAAUGUUGUUCAUACCAGCACGAGAGCUACCUCGUCCUACCAUAGAGAGAGAGAGAACGGUGAUUCCCUUUGAUACGCUUCGUACCAGGGGAGGGGAGACCAGAGCUUCUCAGAUCUAUCUCAUUGAAAGCACCAAUUGAUACGCUUCGUACCAGGGAAAGGGAGACCAGAGCUUCUCGGAUCUCUUACAAUUGAAAGAAAUUAUAAUACUCAAGAUUGAUUUCCUUUAUUCCAUACUAACAUGGCUUAAUAUAGCCUUAUAAAAACUAACAAAUCUGGAAACAAAUCAUAAAUUGCUAAAUCAACAUGCAUGGAAAGAAAUAAUAAACGUGGAUGAAAAUCAGGAAAUAAAUAAUUUAAUGUUAAAUACAAUAUUAAAUGCAAUGUAGAGGAUCAAACAUAUCAAUCCUUGUCAUUCUCAAGAUAAUAUUCUUGAAGUUGUGUAAGUUUCACUAAUUUCCUCCCAUGUAAGCUUGUUUUUUGUUUAUUUGGAGGUACUGAAAUCUGUUUUUCUAGAACCCUCUGGUUACUGUCUAUUCUAGUAUCUGAAUUAUUUUCUAUUUGAUAGUUAUCUAAUUGAUUUUGAUCAGUUUCAGCAUACUUAUUUGGCUAUCUGAACCAACUUGUUGCUGAUUUGUUCUUGAUUCUGUUUGUAUAUUAUUUGUGUUUUGAGAACUGUUGUUAUUAUCUUCAUUUGUUAUUAUAUUUUGGUGUUUUUCAUUACAAAACUCCAAUGAAUUUUGUGUGUUUGAACAAGAUUUAUGCUGAUUAUUUUCAACCAUAUCUGAAUACUCUUGACACAUUGUGUUUACUAUAUUUUGUUGUUUUUCAGCAUAAAAAUCCACUGAAUUUUGUGUGUUUGAAUAGGAUUUGUGCUGAUUAUUUUCAGCCAUAUCUGAGUACUCUUGACUCAUUGUGUUUUGGGUAUUUAACUGAAAAUUUUCAUCAAUUUGAGCAUCUUUGGAUGCUUGUGGUGUUUACUCAUUUGUUUGACCUGUUUUGUGUUUUUCAACACUGUCUAAACCUCUGUAAUUUCUUUUAUUACAGUGUUCAGACCCAACAGGUUGCCCUGGGUCACUUAUAUUUUCAUAUAUAGGAUUUUCUUCAAUGCCUGUCUGCAUUCUACUUUUAUUCAGAUCAGGUAUGAUUGAUCUUAUCUCAUUAGAAUUUAAUAUAUUGUUUUCUUUAGAUAUAAAAGUUUCUAAUUUUUUAUUUUUUGUAGAAUUAUUUUCAGACCCUGAAGUGUCUUUGUUUUCUUUAAUUUUAUAAUCAUACAAUCUAAUUAUAGAAUUCUUGAAGUGACUUUGAGUUUUGGUUUUGAGGGUUUUUAUCCUCAAUUUUAUUAUUUUUAAAUGGGAAAAUAUUUUCCCUAAAAACUACAUUCCUGGAAAUAUGAAAUUUUUUACUUUCCAAGUCUAAUACCAAAUAUCCUUUUGUAUUAGAUGGAUAUCCCAUAAAAACUCUUCUAAAAGUUCUUGGUGAAAACUUAUAUUCUCUAAUAUUGGUUGAUGCAUAACACAAGCAACCAAAAGUCUUAAGGUUGUCAUAAUUUGGUGUUUGAUUGUUUAAAACUUCAUAUGGUGUUUUAUUUUCUAACACCUUUGAGAGAGUUCUAUUAAUUAUAUGAGUUACUGUCAAGAUACAUUCCUCCUAGUAAAUUAAUGGGAUUCCACCUUGAAUAUUAAUGCAGAGAUCUAGCUAUUUCAAGUAUGUGUAUAUGCUUUCUCUCUAUUAUACCAUUUUGUUGUGGUAUAUAUAGUGGUGUAUCCAGGAUUCCUUGACAGGGAGGGAGCCAAGAUUCGUCGAAGGCGGAAAAAAUUUUUUGUACUAAUUAAAGAACCUAUACAAAUUUUGGCAUGACCUAUUCAUAUAAUUGAUUAUAAAAACCUACAAAAAAUCAAUACAUUUAUUCCAUAAUUAAUAUUCAAUACAUUAAUUAAUAUUCAAAUUAAAAAUAAAUACAUUCAUUUAAUUAACAAUAAAAAUUUCAAAUACAUUUUACAUUACUUCAAUGUCCUACGACGAAGACACGCAUCAUUAAAUAUUUUUAAAAUAACUUCGUUGUCUAUAGUUGUUUCUUGAUUUUUUCCUUGUCCAGUAUUUAACUCUUCCAUAUCCAAAAGGUUUUUGCAAUACUAUCAACUUGUUUUUCUCGAAGGCCGGAGGCCAGAGAAGAUGGAUUUGUGGGAAAACGGGGGAGAAGGGGGUUUGAAGAUUUGUGAAACGUGGGGCAGUGGGGGAGAAGAGGGAGAGACUAGAGAGAUUAAUAUAUUGUGAAAUUUAUAUAUUAACCCUUAAAAAAUAUUAAUAUAUUGUGAAAAUUACACUUAACCCCCUAUAAAAAAAUUAUUACAUAUAGGUCUUCGAUUUUUUUCUAACUUUUAAGGGGGGCAAUUGCCCUCCCUUGCCCCCUGGAUACGCCACUGGGUAUAUAUGGAUAAGAUAGUUGGUGAGUUAUACCAUAUUCUUCUACCAUUUGUUUAAAAUAAUUUGAGGUAAACUCACCUCCAAUGUCACUCCUGAUUAUUUUAACAUUCUUGUUAAAAAGGGUUUUUAUUUUAAUUAAUUUUUUUUUAAUGCAAUCUAUGGUCAUAUCUUUGGUUUUUAAUAAGAAAGUCCAAGUAACUCUACUUAGAUCCUCCACAACAGUUAAGAAAAAUUUGAAUCCAUCAUGAGUUAUAAUUGGGAAUUUACCCCAAAUAUCUAUAUGGAUUAGAUUAAAAAUAUUUUAAGACUUUGAUAUGCUAGUUUUGUAUUUUAAUUUAGCUUGCUUAGCAAGUGGGCAUAUAUCACAACUUUCUUUUAUUUUACAAAGACUUUUAUUUAUUUGAGAAAAAUAUUUAUUAUUCAUAUUAUCAUUAUCAUUAUCAAAAAUUGUUUUACAAUCAGUACUUAAAGAAUCUGAAACACAUUGAUUCUUAGAAUUUAAUUAGGAUGUUAUCUUUGAUAAAAAGCUUCAUCUUCUCUGGUGAGAUAUGUCCUAGACUCUUGUGUCAGGUCUCAAAAUUGAUAGAUGUAUAUGCAAAGUCAGAGGAUUGUGGCUUUAGAAAGUAAAGGCCAUUUUUGUAUUCACCCUGCUCAAUCACUCUCCACUACUGGUGAGACAUGUCUGAUUACGUCAGUCACUCACAGCAAUGCCCUUCAACAAGGACUAGAGUUCCGUCGCUUUAUGUCGGACCCCCGGAGAGUUCCACAAAUGCGGAGGAAGUGUCUACGUCAAGUACUCAAGGCAACACCUGGAAAUCGCCGACUGGGACUACCAAGUCGCCGAUUCCAGGGGUGAAUCGCCGACUCUAGGCCUCGUGGUCAGUUCUGGUAGACUGCCAACUUGGCUCAUGGGGAGUCGGAGACUACACCUCUGAAUCGGCGACUCCCAUAUCUGAGUCGUCGAUUCCCAGCCGUUACUUGGGAGGGCCCACGUUAUUAUGACACCCUUAAUUGGGCACCAUAAUGGAGUGGGCCUCACGCUAAUGAAUGAGGAAACGUCCCCCAAGACCCUAUAAAAGGGGUCCUUGGGGGUCCUCUACUCCCAAGUCAUUCCCACUUGACACACACCCAACCAGAGAACUAAAGAGCCCGAGUCACCGACUCCCACAUCUGAGUCGCCUACUCCCCUUCACUUUUGCAGGUAUUUGACGUAGAGCGCGCGUCGUGGACUCCAAAGCCUCUGGCCUUCCUCGCAACCCUUCGAGCCUACUGGUAGCAGAUUUCGUGCUUCAUCAACUACAAAAAAAGGACCUUGUAUGACGGUCUUUAGAUGGCGGAUUUCCGCCAUUAAUAAUUCAAUUGUUUUGAUAGUGGACAUCCGCCAUCUAUAUUCUUUGAAUCCGCCGAGAAAAGGUUUUGGCUCGACGGCGGUUCAAAAUUACUUUCGAUGGCGGUCUUUAGAUGGUGGAAAUCCGCCAUCUAAACACUCCCGCCCAAAAUUUCGAUUCCCCCCAAUAGUAAACCCGAUUACCCGAUUAAAUUAACUUAACAUGGAGGACGUCCACCAUGUUAAGUAUUCGAGGACGUCCGCCCAAAUUUCGUUUGAGCGGACUUUCACUUAAGUGUUGGCGAUACUUAAGUGUACUUACAUGACGAAAAUCCGCCAUGUAAGUUUUGGGGUUUAUUAAAAACCCCAAAUCAGAACAGAACGCGUCUGUUCUCCCAAAGCUGCCGCCGACGCCUGCCGACUUCUGCCUGUCCGCCGCCCGCCGCUGCUCGUCGCCGGUCACGUCGCCGUUCUCCACUCCCAGUCGCCGUGUCCUCGCCGGUAGCCGAUCUCCACUUCGAUUCCUCCACUGUGAUCGAAGGUUUGUUCUCCUUUUUGUUUUUAUUUCCUUUUUGUUUUUGUUUAUGAUUAUUGUGUUAAUAAGAUUUAUUGAUGAUUGGGUUUAAUUUAUUUGAAGGUAUGAUUAUAUAUAAACUCAUUUGUUGAACUUAUCUUAAAUUUGUUGAUUUCAAUUUUUGUUUUUGUGUUUUGUAUCUGUUGAUUGUGUUUUGGUUGAUGAUUAUGGUUUGUAUAUUUGUUGAUUGUGUUUUUGUGUUUUGGUUGAUGAUGAACUUAGAGUUUGUAAAUCAUUGUUUGAAUGUGGUUGCUUUAUUUAUUUUAGGGUUAUAUAUCUUUGAACAUGAAUGUGGUUUGAAAACCCAACAUUGGAUUGGAG